ACAAAGAGCAGCAAUUCGCGAGGACAAGCAAAAUCUCAUAAACCGUGGCUCAGUUCAGAUCGUAGGCUGCAACUCGCCUACGUGAAGGAGGAAUCGCUAGUAAUCGCAGGUCAGCAUACUGCGGUGAAUACGUUCCCGGGCCUUGUACACACCGCCCGUCACACCAUGGAAGUUGGCCACGCCCGAAGCCGUUACUCCAACCCUUGUGGAGGAGGACGUCGAAGGUGGGGCUGAUGACUGGGGUGAAGUCGUAACAAGGUAGCCGUACCGGAAGGUGCGGCUGGAUCACCUCCUAA
This 296-nucleotide ribosomal RNA is filed under the name uncultured Synechococcus sp. Its description in RNAcentral is "partial 16S ribosomal RNA". It matches the Rfam family "Bacterial small subunit ribosomal RNA", at positions 1239 to 1533 of the family's 1533-position model. The record is from RNAcentral. Lineage: Bacteria; Bacillati; Cyanobacteriota; Cyanophyceae; Synechococcales; Synechococcaceae.